RNAcentral lists this long non-coding RNA (1554 nucleotides) under Heterocephalus glaber (naked mole-rat). Its description in RNAcentral is "lncRNA (ENSHGLG00000035575.1)". The record is from RNAcentral. Lineage: Eukaryota; Metazoa; Chordata; Mammalia; Rodentia; Bathyergidae.
CCGCCAGGGAGAGUGUUGUCUCGGCUCACGCUGACGCUCCACGUCUUUACUGAGGUAGGAGUCUAGAAAGCAGGCUGUGUGGAAAGGGAUGGGCUCCGUAGGUUAAAGAAGAGUUUGGUGUGGAUCACAGCCAACCUUGAGGGGACCUAUGGGGAGGUAAGCCCCCCGCACGUGGUAAAGAAGGCCAAACAGCAAUCUCUGAGCAUGGGCUCCAGCCAAGGCACUGGGGCGCUGGUGUGGAGACCGGAAGAGGAAGGAGGACAGGCGCGCAUGCGUGAGCGCCUAGGCGAGGCCGUGGGAGCGCACGGGCCCGCCUGUGCAGGUGUAGCGACUCUGUUCUCAGGCCAGGAAGGCACGCUCUGCCCCGCCCAGACCAUGCCCACCUCAGCACGCGGGCUGUGUCCACUGGGACCUGGCACCAAGGCGCGACUGAAAACUGGGCUUCUAGCUCUUCUCCAAAGUCAAAAUGACCAUGAAAGGGAAAUGUUUUGAAUCGAUUCAGGACAUCCAGGCAGCCACCACAGUGCAACUAAAGGCACUCAGGAAAGAGGACUUCCAGAGCUGCUUCAGAAGGUGGCAAGAAUGAUGGGCUUAGCUAGAGACUGGAAGCACAGGGAGCAGAGCUCUUCCACUGGUGGACAGUUUGCUGAGUAUGCCUGGUACACUGAAGGCCUUCUCUUCGCCUCUGGUGGGGUAGGUGCAGCUCUACUGGCAGCCUCGGAUUUUGAUAGCAAGGAAUGACUUCUGAGGUGAAUAUUCCAUUCAACAGUUUUCUUCUUUUUACAAUUUUCUGCACCAAUUACUGUAUGGCUGUUCAUGAUUGUACACCUGUCCCAUUGGUCAUGCAACAUCCUCAGAUGAAGGCCAGGAUGGGGGAAAGUGGAGGGUGCAGAAUUCUCUCUUAGAGUGUAUUGUAAGGGCUGGGAAGCAGGUUACCGGGAGGAUCCAGGAAGCUGACAUGCAGUUAGAGGAUUUUAUUUGAGGAUUGUGAAGAUUUAUUUGGGAAUGGGGAGGAGGUCUAGCUGGGAAAACAUAUAACGUGCCUGUGGGCUAGGGGAGGAGCCCCCUGAGGCAGAAUCCAGGAUUCAUUCUAUCCAAUUAAUUUAAUAAACAUUUAUCGAUCAUUUGCUACAUCCCAGACACUCUUUGAGGGGCCAGGAAAAAACAUUGAACAUAGAUAAAAGCCACUGUGCUCCACUCACAGUGCUGAAUUUUUAGUGCUAUAUUGUGACUCCACCUACUUGGCUUGAAGCUUAUGUUUCAAGAUCCUGACCAUGCCAUUGUGCUUGGUUGCAAAUGGCUUGUGUGGGGUUUCCCCCAAUCCCCUUUUGCCAUGUCACUCUACUCAGCUCUGGGGCUUAUGAUCCUGCUUUUCAGUGGUCAGACCCAAUGCCUUCCUUGGGAAGAGUCAUCAGUUGUGGUGGUCUCCAUCCUAGGGCUUUUCAGGUAUAUGGUGGCACUUCUCAGGGCUUCAUCUGACCGUGGUGAAGAAGAACACUGGGUCUGUGGUCACAGAAGCAUGCCCAUCUCCCCACUGUCCCAAUUUCUUCUCAG